GGGGAGGUGGCAGAGCGGUCGAUUGCGGCGGACGGUAAAUCCGUUCCGGGUAUCCGGCACCCUGGUUCGAAUCCAGGCUUCCCCA
RNAcentral lists this transfer RNA (85 nucleotides) under Salipiger mucosus DSM 16094. It matches the Rfam family "tRNA". From Rfam's summary of the family: Transfer RNA (tRNA) molecules are approximately 80 nucleotides in length. The record is from Rfam by way of RNAcentral. Lineage: Bacteria; Pseudomonadati; Pseudomonadota; Alphaproteobacteria; Rhodobacterales; Roseobacteraceae.